Molecule: long non-coding RNA, 1154 nt
Filed under: Dicentrarchus labrax (European seabass)
Lineage: Eukaryota; Metazoa; Chordata; Actinopteri; Moronidae
Description: lncRNA (ENSDLAG00005029282.1)
Source: RNAcentral
AUGGCCUGUUAUUUUAAUGACAUUUUCCUUGUAAUGCUGCUCUGCAUUAUUCUUCCCAGUUUUUUAACAGAUGAAGCCAGACAUUUAAACUCCACAUGCGUCAGAGAACUGCUUAUCUCCUCAUAUCAAGAAAGCCUUCAAAUUGUACAAGAAGCCUCACUUCUCUCCAGACAACGACGAAGCACACCCUCGUCUUCCAUGCAUGUGUUUACAUUCCUUCGGCAAACCGAGCCUGAGACCCUGGAGACUUCUCGAGCUGCAGAGGUUUUUCAAACAACUCUGCAGGUCCUAAAGAACAGAGCAAGACAGAGACAUAAAAGAGAUGUCACGGCACCAGAAUUGCUUUCAUGGGAGGACGUGGAGCUGAUUGCAGAGCUGUCUCAAUGUCUUCCCGCAACACAUCCAGCAAUCUGUCAGCAAAAUCAUCUUGACAAGUAUCGCUCCAUAACUGGCCUCUGCAAUAACAGCUACAUGCCCACCACCUCAAACCCAAUCAUUGCCAUUCUCUUGCUGUCCACCAGAUGCCCUCUGACUUUUCCUCCUGUCCCAGUCACAUCACUCCCGCAUCCAGCCACUCCCUCCUGCCCUGCAAUAACCCCUUUCUCUCCAGUCCCAGUCACCUGACCUUCCCCGCUCACUCACUUGCUCUCCACUUUCCCUAAUCAGCCCAUAAUUACAUAUACAGGUUCAUUUCCACUCCCAACUCUCUGCAGGAUUCUAAAACUUGCUUAAUGCCUUUGCUUUCUGGCUCUACUGUAAAUCUGUUAUUUGAGACUUGUUACCUGCCUUUCAUAUCAAAAAAUUUUUGGACAUACGUAAAUAUCCCAAUGCUGACUUAUUUAAGAAGGUGGCUAAAUUAUUGAGCGAGGGAAACUGUGUUCUCACGAAACCACAACGAAGACACCUCAAAGGGCAUUAUUUCACUUAUACCAGGAUAACUUGCCAAAGAAAAGAUUUUCCCAAAACAUAUGCAUUUUGCAAUUAAAUUCUAAAGUUGUACAAGCCAUAACUCCGUUUCCCUGGUAACGUCUUACUAAGUCCUACAGCAUGUGUACUUAGAGUCACAGCCUGAAGUAGUGAGCUGGAUAAAACACAAUAUUUUGUGCCUGUAAAUGUAGUCAGUGAACCUCUCAUCUGUCUGCGCCUCUUCUCCC